This 329-nucleotide ribosomal RNA is filed under the name uncultured bacterium. RNAcentral describes it as "bacterial SSU rRNA". It matches the Rfam family "Bacterial small subunit ribosomal RNA", at positions 28 to 359 of the family's 1533-position model. The record is from RNAcentral.
GACGAACGCUGGCGGCGUGCCUAACACAUGCAAGUCAACUUGACUGAAGGAGCAAUCUGACAGUAGAGUGGCGCAAGGGUGCGUAACGCGUAAGUAACUUGCCCAAGGUAAGGAAUAACGUCGAGAAAUCGGCGCUAAUACCUCAUAAUGCAGCGGAUCGCAUGGAUAUGUUGUAAAGGUUUAUCGCCUUGGGAUAGGCUUGCGUCUGAUUAGCUAGUUGGUGUGGUAACGGCACACCAAGGCUACGAUCAGUAACUGGUCUGAGAGGAUGAUCAGUCACACUGGAACUGAGACACGGUCCAGACUCCUACGGGAGGCCAGCAGUGAGG